RNAcentral lists this ribosomal RNA (373 nucleotides) under uncultured bacterium. RNAcentral describes it as "bacterial SSU rRNA". It matches the Rfam family "Bacterial small subunit ribosomal RNA", at positions 30 to 412 of the family's 1533-position model. The record is from RNAcentral.
CCUGAACGCUGGCGGCGUGGCUAAGACAUGCAAGUCGCACGGGACCCGCAAGGGUUCAGUGGCGAACGGGUGAGUAAUGAAUCGCUAAUGUACCCCGGACUCUGAGAUAGCUGCCCGAAAGGGCAGGUAAUAUCAGAUGAUAUAACCGAACCGCAUGGUUUGGUUCUCAAAGGUCCGCCGGUCUGGGAGCAGGCGAUUUCGUAUCAGCUAGUUGGUGAGGUAACGGCUCACCAAGGCGACGACGCGUAGCCGGACUGAGAGGUUGGCCGGCCACAUUGGGACUGAGACACUGCCCAGACUCCUACGGGGGCUGCAUAACGAAUCUUCCGCAAUGCACGAAAGUGUGACGGAGCGACGCCGCGUGUAGGACGAA